ACUCCUACGGGAGGCAGCAGUGGGGAAUAUUGCACAAUGGGCGCAAGCCUGAUGCAGCGACGCCGCGUGGGGGAUGAAGGCCUUCGGGUUGUAAACUCCUUUCGCUAGGGACGAAGCUUUUUUGUGACGGUACCUAGAUAAGAAGCACCGGCUAACUACGUGCCAGCAGCCGCGGUAAUACGUAGGGUGCGAGCGUUGUCCGGAAUUACUGGGCGUAAAGGGCUCGUAGGUGGUUUGUCGCGUCGUCUGUGAAAUUCUGGGGCUUAACUCCGGGCGUGCAGGCGAUACGGGCAUAACUUGAGUGCUGUAGGGGUAACUGGAAUUCCUGGUGUAGCGGUGAAAUGCGCAGAUAUCAGGAGGAACACCGAUGGCGAAGGCAGGUUACUGGGCAGUUACUGACGCUGAGGAGCGAAAGCAUGGGUAGCGAACAGGAUUAGAAACCCCAGUAGUCCC
This 453-nucleotide ribosomal RNA is filed under the name uncultured organism. Its description in RNAcentral is "partial 16S ribosomal RNA". It matches the Rfam family "Bacterial small subunit ribosomal RNA", at positions 335 to 797 of the family's 1533-position model. The record is from RNAcentral.